RNAcentral lists this ribosomal RNA (274 nucleotides) under uncultured bacterium. RNAcentral's name for it is "partial 16S ribosomal RNA". It matches the Rfam family "Bacterial small subunit ribosomal RNA", at positions 523 to 796 of the family's 1533-position model. The record is from RNAcentral.
AUACGGAGGGUGCAAGCGUUACUUGGAAUCACUGGGCGUAAAGCGCGCGCAGGCGGGCUGAUAAGUUGGAUGUGAAAGCCUACGGCUCAACCGUAGAACUGCAUCCAAAACUGCCAGUCUAGAGUGUGGGAGAGGAAGAUGGAAUUAGUUGUGUAGGGGUAAAAUCCGUAGAGAUAGCUAGGAAUACCAAAAGCGAAGGCAAUCUUCUGGAACACUACUGACGCUGAGGCGCGAAGGCGUGGGGAGCAAACAGGAUUAGAUACCCGAGUAGUCC